Non-coding RNA from Apteryx haastii (Great spotted kiwi), 182 nucleotides. The record is from Ensembl. Lineage: Eukaryota; Metazoa; Chordata; Aves; Apterygiformes; Apterygidae.
AGGGCUUGGGAAAUGGCUGCUGUGUGGUCGGAGCCAGGUGGUUCCAGCCUCGUACCAGCCGGCCUCACCCGUGCCUGAGAUUAAUUCCCACGCAGACUCCGGGCUGGAGUUCGUCCUAUGCAGUAACAGGUGUGAGCAUUCAUGGAGCGUUUUGAUGGUCAUGUAUGAUACUGCAUACAACA